Molecule: ribosomal RNA, 434 nt
Filed under: uncultured Desulfobulbus sp.
Lineage: Bacteria; Pseudomonadati; Thermodesulfobacteriota; Desulfobulbia; Desulfobulbales; Desulfobulbaceae
Description: bacterial SSU rRNA
Rfam family: Bacterial small subunit ribosomal RNA
Source: RNAcentral
UGCAACGCGAAGAACCUUACCUGGUCUUGACAUCCCGGAGACCCUUAGGAAACUAGGGGGUGGCUUCCAUCUGGAAGAAUCUGGAGACAGGUGCUGCAUGGCUGUCGUCAGCUCGUGUCGUGAGAUGUUGGGUUAAGUCCCGCAACGAGCGCAACCCUUGCCUUUAGUUGCCAGCAGUUCGGCUGGGCACUCUAAAGGGACUGCCGGUGUUAAACCGGAGGAAGGUGGGGAUGACGUCAAGUCCUCAUGGCCUUUAUGACCAGGGCUACACACGUACUACAAUGGCCGAUACAAAGGGCAGCGACACUGCGAGGUGAAGCCAAUCCCGUAAAAUCGGUCUCAGUCCGGAUUGGAGUCUGCAACUCGACUCCAUGAAGUUGGAAUCGCUAGUAAUCGUGGAUCAGCAUGCCACGGUGAAUACGUUCCCGGGCCUU